GUGCCAGCAGCCGCGGUAAUACGGUAGGUGGGAAGCGUUAUCCCGGAAUUAUUGGGCCUAAAGCGCGCGCAGGUGGCUUUCUUAAGUCUGAUGUGAAAAGCCCACGGCUCAACCGUGGAGGGUCAUUGGAAACUGGGAGACUUGAUUGCAGAAGAGGAAAGUGGAAUUCCAUGUGUAGCGGUGAAAUGCGUAGAGAUAUGGAGGAACACCAGUGGCGAAGGCGACUUUCUGGUCUGUAACUGACACUGAGGCGCGAAAGCGUGGGGAGCAAACAGGAUUAGAUACCCUGGUAGUCC
This 296-nucleotide ribosomal RNA is filed under the name uncultured microorganism. RNAcentral describes it as "partial 16S ribosomal RNA". It matches the Rfam family "Bacterial small subunit ribosomal RNA", at positions 505 to 796 of the family's 1533-position model. The record is from RNAcentral.